CAGAUAGUUGGUGAGGUAACGGCUCACCAAGCCUGCGAUCAGUAACUGGUGUGAGAGCACGACCAGUCACACGGGCACUGAGACACGGGCCCGACUCCUACGGGAGGCAGCAGUAAGGAAUAUUGGUCAAUGGACGCAAGUCUGAACCAGCCAUGCCGCGUGGAGGAUUAAGGCCCUCUGGGUUGUAAACUCCUUUUAUCUGGGAAGAAAUGCCAUUUUUCUAAAUGGUUUGACGGUACCAGAGGAAUAAGCACCGGCUAACUCCGUGCCAGCAGCCGCGGUAAUACGGAGGGUGCAAGCGUUAUCCGGAUUCACUGGGUUUAAAGGGUGCGUAGGCGGGCAGGUAAGUCCGUGGUGAAAUCUCUGAGCUUAACUCAGAAACUGCCAUGGAUACUAUUUGUCUUGAAUACUGUGGAGGUAAGCGGAAUAUGUCAUGUAGCGGUGAAAUGCUUAGAUAUGACAUGGAACACCAAUUGCGAAGGCAGCUUACUACACAAAUAUUGACGCUGAGGCACGAAAGCGUGGG
This 526-nucleotide ribosomal RNA is filed under the name uncultured Bacteroidota bacterium. RNAcentral's name for it is "SSU rRNA". It matches the Rfam family "Bacterial small subunit ribosomal RNA", at positions 242 to 765 of the family's 1533-position model. Lineage: Bacteria; Pseudomonadati; Bacteroidota. The record is from RNAcentral.